This 66-nucleotide small nuclear RNA is filed under the name Otolemur garnettii (small-eared galago). RNAcentral describes it as "U7 small nuclear RNA". It matches the Rfam family "U7 small nuclear RNA". From Rfam's summary of the family: Animal histone pre-mRNAs are spliced by a different mechanism than nuclear pre-mRNAs and self-splicing introns. This processing involves the U7 snRNP, which contains only one RNA species: U7. Lineage: Eukaryota; Metazoa; Chordata; Mammalia; Primates; Galagidae. The record is from Rfam by way of RNAcentral.
UAGAACUUACAGCUCUUGUAGAAUUUACCUAGUAGGCCUUCCAGUCUCUACCAGAGGGAUGCCACU